AUUUAAAUAGCUUAAAUUAGAGCAUAAUGCUGAAGAUAUUAAGGUGGUUAAUAACCUUUAAAUA
RNAcentral lists this transfer RNA (64 nucleotides) under Sepia officinalis (common cuttlefish). RNAcentral's name for it is "tRNA-Phe". The record is from RNAcentral. Lineage: Eukaryota; Metazoa; Mollusca; Cephalopoda; Sepiida; Sepiidae.